Molecule: ribosomal RNA, 280 nt
Filed under: uncultured bacterium
Lineage: Bacteria
Description: partial 16S ribosomal RNA
Rfam family: Bacterial small subunit ribosomal RNA
Source: RNAcentral
AACGAACGCUGGCGGCAGGCCUAACACAUGCAAGUCGAGCGCUUUCCUUCGGGAAGGAGCGGCGGACGGGUUAGUAACGCGUGGGAACAUACCCUUUUCUAUGGAAUAGCCUCGGGAAACUGAGAGUAAUACCAUAUAAGCCCUUCGGGGGAAAGAUUUAUCGGGAAAGGAUUGGCCCGCGUUAGAUUAGAUAGUUGGUGGGGUAAUGGCCUACCAAGUCUACGAUCUAUAGCUGGUUUUAGAGGAUGAUCAGCAACACUGGGACUGAGACACGGCCCAG